Molecule: non-coding RNA, 46 nt
Filed under: Schistosoma mansoni
Lineage: Eukaryota; Metazoa; Platyhelminthes; Trematoda; Strigeidida; Schistosomatidae
Source: RNAcentral
GCACUGUUGAGGAGUCCCACAAUAGGACGAAACAGUUGUCCAGUGC